This 468-nucleotide ribosomal RNA is filed under the name uncultured bacterium. Its description in RNAcentral is "partial 16S ribosomal RNA". It matches the Rfam family "Bacterial small subunit ribosomal RNA", at positions 28 to 507 of the family's 1533-position model. The record is from RNAcentral.
GACGAACGCUGGCGGCGUGCUUAACACAUGCAAGUCGAACGGAAAGGCCCUGCUUUUGUGGGGUGCUCGAGUGGCGAACGGGUGAGUAACACGUGGGUAACCUGCCCUUGACUUUGGGAUAACUUCAGGAAACUGGGGUUAAUACCGGAUAGGAGCUCCUGCUGCAUGGUGGGGGUUGGAAAGUUUCGGCGGUUGGGGAUGGACUCGCGGCUUAUCAGCUUGUUGGUGGGGUAGUGGCUUACCAAGGCUUUGACGGGUAGCCGGCCUGAGAGGGUGACCGGCCACAUUGGGACUGAGAUACGGCCCAGACUCCUACGGGAGGCAGCAGUGGGGAAUAUUGCACAAUGGGCGGAAGCCUGAUGCAGCAACGCCGCGUGCGGGAUGACGGCCUUCGGGUUGUAAACCGCUUUCGCCUGUGACGAAGCGUGAGUGACGGUAAUGGGUAAAGAAGCACCGGCUAACUACGUG